GCACUGCUGAUGAAUUCCAAACAGGACGAAACACCUGUCCAGUAC
Molecule: non-coding RNA, 45 nt
Filed under: Echinostoma caproni
Lineage: Eukaryota; Metazoa; Platyhelminthes; Trematoda; Plagiorchiida; Echinostomatidae
Source: RNAcentral